Molecule: transfer RNA, 75 nt
Filed under: Planctomycetota bacterium
Lineage: Bacteria; Pseudomonadati; Planctomycetota
Also listed under: 3 other names
Description: tRNA-Thr
Rfam family: tRNA
About the family: Transfer RNA (tRNA) molecules are approximately 80 nucleotides in length.
Source: RNAcentral
GCUAGCGUAGCUCAAGGGCAGAGCAGCUGUUUUGUAAACAGCAGGUUGAGGGUUCGAAUCCCCCCGCUAGCUCCA